ACAUCUUUAAAUAGAUAUUUGCGUAUGCUUUGAGGUCUACAGUGUGCAAUAUGCUUUGCGAUUUACAACAUCAACCAUACCAAAGAAGAAUAUCUGAAACAGAAACAGAACUGUCUAUUGCUGAUAUAACUCAUCCAUAUGACAGAGAAAGAGAGAAAGAGAGAAAGGAGAGAGUGAGAGAGAGACAGAGAGAGAGAGAGAGAUGGAUAUAUGACACAGCAGAACAGGACGCACUACCUCGCUGAAAACAACCAAGAUUAUUCCUUCAAUUCCUUCAACCAUAAACAAGGCUAUUUGUCAUCUACGACAGCUUACACUGUAACGGGAUGAGGACUCAAGUCAUACGCAUACCACUUUGAUUGACAGGUGUGCUUGUUUUGUUCAGGGAAGUGGGACGUGUGAGAUCUGACCAGCGAAUUUAUUAACGGAAUAACGUCUUUGACGUCGAGUAAACCAUGAUCAAGCAAACAAAUCUCUGUGACCAGAAUAACCUUGUUUUGAUAGGUUUCCGAGAGGUGGAGAGGUGUGGAGGGCUGGGGAGUGUUGGACAAAGAAACCCAGGCUACCCCAUCCAUCAGCAGGGUGAAACAAAGCGUGUUCCAGUUCACGGCAAUAUCCAGCAACUUCACAUAGCCAUUGAAGAGGAGUGGGACUACAAUCCACCAGCCACAAUCAACAGCCUGAUCAACUCUAUGCCAAGGAGAUGUGUCGCGCUGCAUGAGGCAAAUGGUGGUCACACCAGAAAAUGAAUGAAAAUGUUCUGAUCCACACCCCUACCUUUUUUUAAGGUCUGUGACCAACACAUGCAUAUCUGUAUUCCCAGUCAUGUGAAAUCCAUAGAUUAGGGCUUAAUGCAUUUAUUUCAAUUGACUGAUUUCAAUUGAUGAAAAGUAACUCAGUAAAAUCGUUGAAAUUGUUGAUGUUGCGUUUAUAUUUUUGUUCAGUGUAGUCUCUGUGGGAUAUGUAUUAUCCAGGCAUUUUGGUAUAGGGGCCUAUGUUGAUGAGCUGAUGAGCAUUUCAGACCAUCCCUAUACUCAGGAAGGGGCCAUGGGUUCAGUUAUGGGAUGGGAGUCAUUAUGCUAGAUUCAAGACAGGGUUCAGUUAUGGGAUUGAAGUCAUUAUGCUAGAUUCAAGACAGGGUUCAGUUAUGGGAUGGGAGUCAUUAUGCUAGAUUCAAGACAGGGUUCAGUUAUGGGAUUGAAGUCAUUAUGCUAGAUUCAAGACAGGGUUCAGUUAUGGGAUUGAAGUCAUUAUGCUAGAUUCAAGACAGGGUUCAGUUAUGGGAUGGGAGUCAUUAUGCUAGAUUCAAGACAGGGUUCAGUUAUGGGAUGGGAGUCAUUAUGCUAGAUUCAAGACAGGGUUCAGUUAUGGGAUUGAAGUCAUUAUGCUAGAUUCAAGACAGGGUUCAGUUAUGGGAUGGGAGUCAUUAUGCUAGAUUCAAGACAGGGCUCAGUUAUGGGAUGGAAGAGAUUGAUCAGCUAGAGUCAAGGCAACACACUGAGUUUGUGUUGACUUUACAGACAUUCAGCUCCUUUAACAAGUUUAGAUGUUUUAACAACAGAGUUUAGUUCUAUUUCUAUGGUUUUUGCAGUACAACCACACAAAUAAGUGCUAACCCACAGGGCACAGACGUCAUUUCAACGUCUAGUUUAGAUUUACAGUUAGUGGAUUUGUCAACAAAUGUGAAUUCAAUGUGAAAUCAGCCAAACAUGUUUACAAUGUCAUUGUAUUUUGGUUAAAAGAUGGGUUGAUUACUUUAUAUUGAUGACUUUUUGCAAAUCCAAUCAGUUUUCCACGUUGAUUCACCAUCGUCACAUAGAUUUUUGUUGUUGUUGAAAUAACGUGGAAACAACAUUGAUUCAACUGGUUUUUGUCCAACGGGAAGUUAAUCCUGAAAAGUCUAUUCAUCUUUAGCUGUUUAGCAGUUACAGCCCACUCUGACAGGAAUGUGUAAAUUGCUUGUGAUCAUGUGUAGUUUAGGACUAGGACUAGGACAGGACUUGACAGGUUGUAAUACUUUCUUGAUCAAAAUGAGGAUGCACUGCACACAAUUGUGGGAAAACCCAACAGAUACAAUUCAUUAUUCUAAUCACACAAAUGGCUCACAAAGAAAAUGUAUGACUCAAUGGUACACCGUGAUAGUCAUGGCCCCCAUGCUCAUUGAUGACAGUUUUGUAUGGCAGGAUUUUCUUUGUGACAUUAAUCAUUUCAUUACAGUGCUUGUCGCUACCAAGACCACACCAGUGGCUUUUUCUCCUCUCCCCUUCAUUAUUCAAAACUGAAAAGGUUACAUUGAUUUCUGGUGCCAUUUCCCCAGCUCAGCGAUGGAAUCUUAAUAAAUCAAAUCAUUUUUGACAGUUGGUGGCGCAGGCAGGCAGGGGCACCAGCGUUCUAGAAUAUUGGAUUCUUGCAGCUGUGCCAUCCUGUUUGCAUUUCGUCGUCGGCACAGAGACGGUUGGUAUUUAGAGUAAUGACCAGGUGACACUGGUAGAAUGUCACAAGGGGGAGUUUUUCCAUGCAUGGUCUGACAGCUGGAUGUGACAGGAGUAAGAUUAUAACAAGUUAGACUUUUUACUUUGUACCUGAAGUUGGUGGAUAAUGGAUUUAUUUUGUUGGGCGGGGGGUAACGACAACACCAGAACACCCAAACACCCAUUUCUAAUGCAGGGAUCCAUAACAAUGUAUUAAUUUGAAUGUUAUUGGUCUGUUGCUGUUCAGAUGAAGAUUUAAAUGAACAAAAUAAUCACAAGUUUUCUAAACUAAUGCAGUUUCCACUUUCCCUCCCUUGUGUUGCUGUUGCAAACAUUAGUAUAAAUAGCUGUUGUCUUAGACUACUGACAAUCUCAAUCACAAAUUGUUCUGGGUGUAGCUCUUAGCUGGUAUAUAAAUCUAUAAGAGCUGGGAAGCUGGACGACCUAGAUCCUGUAACACUCCCCUCCAGAUGCCUUUGUUGACAGAGAAAGCUCUCCUCCCUUUCUCUCUCUAUCCCUUCUCUUGCUCUCUCUCUAUCUCUCUCUCCCUUCUCUUCUCUCUCUCCAUCACUCUCUCUUUCCCCAUUGUGCCCUAUCACCAUAUGAGGAGGGGAGAGAAUCAGAGACGGUUAACACUUUAACGCCCUGACCAUAGAGAGCCCUUGGUUCUCCAUGGUGUAGUAUGGUCUAGUAUAUUUAUUUCUAUGUUGGUGUGCUUGGUAUGGUUCCCAAUUAGAGGCAGCUGGUAAUCGUUGCCUCUAAUUGGGGAUCCUAUUUAGGUAACCUUUUUCCCACCUGUGUUUUGUGGGAUAUUGUUUUGAGUUAGUGCAUGUGGCACUGCUGAUGUCACGGUUCGUUAUUUGUUUCUUUUUGUUUGGAAGUUUCGCGUAAAUAAAUAUGUGGAACUUUAA
Salvelinus fontinalis (brook trout) is the source of this 3382-nucleotide long non-coding RNA. RefSeq lists it as uncharacterized. The record is from RefSeq and is a predicted model, not a curated record. The transcript has 3 exons. NCBI's taxonomy places the organism in Eukaryota, Metazoa, Chordata, Actinopteri, Salmoniformes, Salmonidae.